AUUUGCUAUCUGGAGAUGGGGAGAUAGUGGCGAAAUACUUUUCGCACUGGUUGAUAGCUGGUUAUUCCGGAAAUAUAUCUAAGUAUAGCUCUUCGGUUGAUGGGGUUUACAGUUUAAUAAUUCUAAUAGUAUUUAGGGUGUUCUAUCGAAGGAGUUAGCCCCCUCAGGCUAAGCUGAGGGGGCUAUUUUAAAGGAUGGUUAACUAAGAAUGGAAAGGCUAAGAAGUGGGCUUGAAGGAGCUAUCUUUACAGAGUGGGUUAAACCACAAAUGGGCCUUGUACAAUAAAUCAAAUUUUACCUAUCUUUGUGUUGUACGGAAUCUCUUUUUGAAAUAAUAGUCAUAGAGGUGAUAAUGUAAAGAUGAGUAGUCGAGAAGUUGUAAGUGUUUUAAGGUCGGGGAGAGAAACGUAAAGGUAUGUUCCGUAUCUUUAAAAAAAGCUAAAGGAACUCGGCAAAUAAGGGGACCGCCUGUUUAUCAAAAACAUGGCUCCCUGAGCAAUAUUGGGGGUCGUGCCUUCCCGGUGAGCUUGC
Molecule: ribosomal RNA, 531 nt
Filed under: Pecten albicans
Lineage: Eukaryota; Metazoa; Mollusca; Bivalvia; Pectinida; Pectinidae
Description: partial 16S ribosomal RNA
Rfam family: Bacterial large subunit ribosomal RNA
Source: RNAcentral